Molecule: long non-coding RNA, 1372 nt
Filed under: Podarcis muralis (Common wall lizard)
Lineage: Eukaryota; Metazoa; Chordata; Lepidosauria; Squamata; Lacertidae
Description: lncRNA (ENSPMRG00000019703.1)
Source: RNAcentral
UCCUGAAGCUGAACAAAUGGCAAAUGUAAAAGGGAACAGAUACCAGUUUGCAAAAUGGAUGGAAUGGAGACAGAGAAAGCGAAAGAGAGAGAGAAUAAAGAGGAACUAUGUUCAGAGGGUGGGAGUGGUGCAGUAGAAAGAGGUUAUUCAGCAGCCUCUCUUUCCCUACAGGGUGGGUCUGACUGAGAGGAAAUCACCACCGGCCAACUACACAUGGUGGAUUCCUGGCAUUGUGGAGUUAGCAGUUGGGUCUCCACUUGGAAAGAUAGACUGCAAGAAGAGGAGUCUCCAACAGGGCAAAAUGUGGCUGCCAUGCUUGCUGUUUUUGCUUUUCCUGCAUGUGGGGUCUAUUAUGAAUGCUGUUCCAGAUUCUUCAGUGAUUCAAACACCUGCCAAUGUGACUGUGGAGGAAGGAUCAACAGUGAAUAUGCAGUGCAGGUUCAAUGGACCCAGCACCAAAUGGUCUAUUAAAUGGUAUAAAGUUAAAGGCAAUGAACAGGUGGAAUUGCUUAACUCAAGCCUAGUUCACAUAUUUACACAUCUAAAAGACAAAUUAAGUAAUUUGACUUUGAAAUCUGUGGAUUUGAAGGAUACUGGAACUUAUCUGUGUAACGUCAUCGAUGAGAAUUUUCAACAUCUCAAUACUGGGACAAAUGUGACCAUCAUUGAAAUUACCGACUUUGAGGUGAACCAGACUUCUGGACCCAUCCAUGAAGUGGAAGGGGCGGAUGUCACCAUCGAGUGUCGCUUCAGGACAGUCGGCAGGAACAGCAGCAUGUAUGUCAGUUGGGACAAAGAUGGGCUUGCGGUUGAGCAGGCUAACAAGACAGGCUCGUACAGGAUCACUCAGAACCUGAGAGCAGGAUUUGCUUCUCUCACCCUCACAAAUGCUACUGUGAGCGAUUCAGGGUUGUACGUCUGUAACGUUGGGAGAGAACCAAGAAAUCAAACAAAAUCAUCAGGAAUUGCAUCUCAUGUUGUCAUCACAAACCACCAAGGGGGUCUUCCUUUUCCUGUUCCUCUUAAACCAGAACGUGACAAGCAGCCAGAAACUGACAGUGGAAGUCCUGGAGCUGGAAUUGGAGCCGGAAUUGGAGCUGGAGCCGGAGGUGCAGCAGGAAUCCUCCUCCUCUUGUUGCUGCUCAGUGUCUUAGCAUGGAGAUACAAGAAGAGGGCUAAAGAAAGCACAACAGAGACAGAAGCUGCUGCAACCAAAGAAGCAGGAACGCAUCUUCCUUUAACCAGCCGGCAGAAGGAGUUGACCUAUGCCAGCCUUCGUUUCAACAAAAAGGAAGUGGAACCAGAUGCUGGGGUGAUCUAUGCGGAAGUGCGAAGAAAACCGAAACAGCGAGCUGGCAACAGCCAGAUCUAG